GAUGAAGAACGUAGCGAAAUGCGAUAAGUAGUGUGAAUUGCAGAAUUCAGUGAAUCAUCGAAUCUUUGAACGCACAUUGCGCCCCUUGGUAUUCCAAAGGGCAUGCCUGUUCGAGCGUCAUUUGUACCCUCAAGCUUUGCUUGGUGUUGGGCGUCUUGUCUCUAGCUUUGCUGGAGACUCGCCUUAAAGUAAUUGGCAGCCGGCCUACUGGUUUCGGAGCGCAGCACAAGUCGCACUCUCUAUCAGCAAAGGUCUAGCAUCCAUUAAGCCUUUUUUUCAACUUUUGACCUCGGAUCAGGUAGGGAUACCCGCUGAACUUAAGCAUAUCAAUAAGCGGAGGA
This 341-nucleotide unclassified non-coding RNA is filed under the name soil metagenome. Its description in RNAcentral is "partial contains 5.8S ribosomal RNA, internal transcribed spacer 2, and large subunit ribosomal RNA". The stretch from base 1 to 120 matches the Rfam family "5.8S ribosomal RNA", at positions 35 to 154 of the family's 154-position model. The record is from RNAcentral.